AGGCUCAACCUCGGAAAGGGGAGCAAAACUGCUUGAAUUGGAAGGUUUCGGGGCUACUGAACUUAUCGUGUAGGAGUGAAAUCCGUUGAUAUGAUAAGGAACACCGAGGGCGAAGGCAAGUAGCUAGGAACACUUCGACGCUGAGGGACGAAAGCCAGGGUAGCGAAAGGGAUUAGAGACCCCUGUAGUCCUGGCCGUAAACGAUGCUCGCUAGGGAUGGGAGCCUUUAAUGGUUUCCGUCUCGUUAGCUAACGCGUUAAGCGAGCCGCCUGGGGAGUACGAGCGCAAGCUUAAAACUCAAAGGAAUUGACGGGGACCCGCACAACCAGUGGAUUAUGUGGUUUAAUUCGAGACGAACCGAAGAACCUUUCCUGGGCUUGACAUGUUAGCUGCACGUCGACAGAGAUGUCGAUUUCUUCGAGAGUGCUAACACAGGUGUUGCAUGGCUGUCGUCAGCUCGUGCCGUGGGGUGUUCCCUUCAGUGGGGUAACGAGCGCAACCCCUGCCGUAUGUUAAAUUGUUCAUACGGGACUACUCGCUUUGCAGGGAGGAAGUGGGGACGACGUCAAGUCAGCAUGGCCCUUAUGUCCAGGGCGACACACAUAAUACAAUGGAGCCGACAGAGGGUUGCCAAGCGGUAACGUGGAGCUAAUCCCAAAAACGGCUUCUCAGUGGGGAUUGAGGGCUGCAAUUCGCCCUCAUGAACGCGGAAUUGGUAGUAAUCGCAAAUCAGCCAAGUUGCGGUGAA
Molecule: ribosomal RNA, 748 nt
Filed under: uncultured bacterium
Lineage: Bacteria
Description: bacterial SSU rRNA
Rfam family: Bacterial small subunit ribosomal RNA
Source: RNAcentral